AAAGAUUUGGGGUGAGCUCCUGACAUUUAUAGUAUUCUUCCUCUCCCUCGUAUUGAGUAGACUAAUCUUUAUUUUGUAUUUUAGAGAUAGUUAUACAAGUAUAUUCAUUCUGUAUUUCUCUUUAAAUUUUGAUUAUACUAGAAGCUCUUUUUCAAAUUUUACUAGGUCUUGGGGGUUGCUAUAUUAGUCUAUUAUUUAGAUUUAUUUUAGCUAUUUUGUUUUAUUCUCUUGAUAAUCCC
This 239-nucleotide long non-coding RNA is filed under the name Capsicum annuum. Its description in RNAcentral is "long non-coding RNA (CANN_LNC002582)". Lineage: Eukaryota; Viridiplantae; Streptophyta; Magnoliopsida; Solanales; Solanaceae. The record is from RNAcentral.